GCGCCAAUAGCUCAGCUGGAUAGAGUGUCUGACUACGAAUCAGAAGGUCGGGGGUUCGAGUCCCUCUUGGCGCACCA
RNAcentral lists this transfer RNA (77 nucleotides) under Clostridium sp. ATCC 29733. Its description in RNAcentral is "tRNA-Arg". It matches the Rfam family "tRNA". From Rfam's summary of the family: Transfer RNA (tRNA) molecules are approximately 80 nucleotides in length. Their secondary structure includes four short double-helical elements and three loops (D, anti-codon, and T loops). RNAcentral also lists the same sequence under 5 other names. Lineage: Bacteria; Bacillati; Bacillota; Clostridia; Eubacteriales; Clostridiaceae. The record is from RNAcentral.